GUUCUGCCUAUCGCUAGUUUUAUCCCUGCCCUGCCCACACAGCAACAUUCACAGCUAAUGGGAAGAAUGCAAAGUGACCUUGCUGUUUGCUUUGUUAAGAAAGAGCCUUGCUUUUAUUACCAGCUAAUCAAAUGAUGCCCAAAGGAUAAGAAGCAAAAUGUUUGUUUUUGAAAAAAAGUUAGUGUUUGUGUUCAAAAAAAAAAACUACAUAAAGAUUCCUGUUAACCAGCCAUUAGUAAGGAAGAGUUUGCUGCCCAUUAGACUAUCAAGCUUUUUGUCCAUCGUUCUCAACAACAGAUGUAGUAAAACAGGUGAUUGCAGCAGAAUUUGGAAUGAACAUACCAGCAUGGCUCAAAGAGUUCAUAAGGAAAGGAAGAACAAACACUUAUCAAGUUGAGUAUAGAUACUGAUAUUUUUACUUGAAAUACAUGUGAUAUUGAUGAAAUCUGGUAAGAACUGGUGCCCUGGGACUCUGGCUCUUCUAGGAUGGGACUCACUCUUUACCUUCCAGCAGCAGAGUUAAGGGGUUGAGCAUAGUUCCACUAGUAAGCUUCAGAGUGGACCAGGCAGGUCAGACAAAGAAGAACUGCAGCAUUCUGUCAAAAAAGGUCCAUGUCCAAGGCAGCUGGAAAAACAAAUGUUAGUAACUGGUAGGUCUUUGACUAUCUCUACCCAUAUGUUAAAAUUACUCGCCUUGUAGCUUCAAGAGAUGAUAACUUUGACAGCAGCACUCACUUCCAUCCCUGACACUCCGGACUGCUCCACAUGCCUUUUAAACAGCUGCAGAGCCUGGACUGUGUGCUCAGUAACAAAGCCUCUUCUGAAUGGGGCAUUUUGAUGCCACUGGUCCUUUGUGGGUGACUUUUAAAGAAACGGGCUUAACAAGGAACCUAAUGGUGAUGUAACAGGG
Molecule: long non-coding RNA, 910 nt
Filed under: Cairina moschata (Muscovy duck)
Lineage: Eukaryota; Metazoa; Chordata; Aves; Anseriformes; Anatidae
Description: domestica (muscovy Duck (domestic type)) lncRNA (ENSCMMG00000009106.1)
Source: RNAcentral